This 425-nucleotide ribosomal RNA is filed under the name uncultured bacterium. RNAcentral's name for it is "bacterial SSU rRNA". It matches the Rfam family "Bacterial small subunit ribosomal RNA", at positions 354 to 796 of the family's 1533-position model. The record is from RNAcentral.
GUGGGGAAUAUUGGACAAUGGGCGCAAGCCUGAUCCAGCAAUUCCGCGUGGGUGAAGAAGGUCUUCGGAUUGUAAAGCCCUUUCGACGGGGACGAUGAUGACGGUACCCGUAGAAGAAGCCCCGGCUAACUUCGUGCCAGCAGCCGCGGUAAUACGAAGGGGGCUAGCGUUGCUCGGAAUUACUGGGCGUAAAGGGCGCGUAGGCGGCUUAGUUAGUCAGGCGUGAAAGCCCUGGGCUCAACCUGGGGACUGCGCUUGAUACGGCUAGGCUAGAGGAUGGAAGAGGGUCGCGGAAUUCCCAGUGUAGAGGUGAAAUUCGUAGAUAUUGGGAAGAACACCGGUGGCGAAGGCGGCGACCUGGUCCAUUACUGACGCUGAGGCGCGACAGCGUGGGGAGCAAACAGGAUUAGAAACCCUAGUAGUCC